UAUUAGCUAGCCAUGACUUUGAUAUGGGAAACACUAGUAGUAGUUUGUAUUGUGUAUGCCUUGUAUGAGUUCCUAAAUAUCCACAAGAGAAAAAAGUUUCCACAAGGUCCAAGGGGAAUCCCCAUUUUAGGACAUCUUCAUUUGUUAGGGAAAAACCCACACCAUGAUUUACGAAACCUAGCAAAGAAAUAUGGUCCAUUUUUCCAUAUUAGACUAGGACCAAUACCUACAUAUAUUGCAUCGUCUGUCGAUACAGCCGAAAAAUUCGUCAAAACUUAUGAUCAUAUCUUUGCUACGAGGCCUUAUAACGAGUUAGCUAAGUAUUUGUCAUACGGUCAUAAGAAUUUGGUAUUUGCAAGGUAUGGACCAUACUGGCACAAUAUGCGCAAAUUGGUCACUCUAGACCUUUUAACUCAUCAAAAGAUCAAUUCAUUUCAAUCCGUGAGAACACAAGAAGUAAGAUCAACUCGCUUAAAAAUGAUGGUGGUUGUGUUGUUGAUCUUAGUGCAAAAGUUGCAAAGUUGAGUGCUGACAUAACUUGUUCGAUGUUGUUUGGAAAGAAGUACAUGGAUGAAGAAUUGGACAAGAGGGGAUUCAAAGGUAUACUUCAAGAAGUUGUGUAUUUAGGUGCAACACCAAAUCUUGGAGAUUUUUUCCCCUUCCUUGGUGUAAUUGAUCUCCAAGGAAUCACGCGUAAACUCAAGGAACUUUCAAAGGUGUUUGAUGGAUUUCUUGAGAAGAUAAUCGAUGAACAUGAACAGUCUCGUGACCAAAAGCAAUCCAAAGACUUGGUGGACACGAUGUUAGACAUUAUGCAUUCAGGAGAGACACAGUUUCAGUUUGAUCGUACCAAUAUAAAAGCUAUUCUCAUCGACAUGCUUGCUACAGCAAUCGAUACUUCAGCAACAUUGGUAGAUUGGACAGUAACAGAGCUUCUUCGACAUCCUCAUGUGAUGAAAAAACUCCAAAAGGAGUUGGAAGAAGUGGUAGGACUUGAAAGAAUGGUAAAAGAGUCAGACUUGGAGAAGUUGAACUACUUAGAUAUGGUUGUGAAAGAGGGAAUGAGGCUGCAUUCCAUUAUACCAAUAACGCAACGUGAGGCCAUGGAAGAUUGUGUCGUUGAUGGCUACCAUAUACGAAAGGGAUCACGAAUCGUGAUAAAUCAUUAUGCAAUUCAGAGGGAUCCAAAUGUUUGGCCCGAGCCUGAGGAGUUUUUACCAGAGAGAUUUGUUGGAAGUAGUAUAGAUAUUCGUGGACGGGAUUUUGAACUUUUACCAUUUAGCUCUGGUAGAAGAAGUUGCCCUGCAAUCCCGCUGGGGAUCACCGUUGUCCGCCUUAUGUUGGCACAAUUGGUGCAUUGCUUUGAUUUGGACCUUCCAAAUGGCAUGCAACCUUGUGAUUUGGACGUUGAUGAGCACUUUGGGCUAGUAACAAGCAAAGAAAACCAUUUAAUGGUUGUUCCUAAAUAACGACUAAACGAAUGAUGAAAAUCAUUUUCGAUAUU
Molecule: RNA transcript, 1504 nt
Organism: Solanum verrucosum
Lineage: Eukaryota; Viridiplantae; Streptophyta; Magnoliopsida; Solanales; Solanaceae
Gene name: cytochrome P450 71AU50-like
Exons: 2
Source: RefSeq, a predicted model, not a curated record